Molecule: ribosomal RNA, 627 nt
Filed under: uncultured bacterium
Lineage: Bacteria
Description: bacterial SSU rRNA
Rfam family: Bacterial small subunit ribosomal RNA
Source: RNAcentral
UCGGUAAGAGAUCAGCUUGUACAGUAUCAGUUAGUUGGUGGGGUAAUGGCUUACCAAGACUAUGACGCUUAACUGGUUUGAGAGGAUGAUCAGUCACACUGGAACUGAGACACGGUCCAGACUCCUACGGGAGGCAGCAGUGGGGAAUAUUGCACAAUGGACGAAAGUCUGAUGCAGCAACGCCGCGUGGAGGAUGACACAUUUCGGUGCGUAAACUCCUUUUAUAUGAGAAGAUAAUGACGGUAUCAUAUGAAUAAGCACCGGCUAACUCCGUGCCAGCAGCCGCGGUAAUACGGGGGGUGCAAGCGUUACUCGGAAUCACUGGGCGUAAAGAGCAUGUAGGCGGAUUGAUAAGUUUGAAGUGAAAUCCUAUAGCUUAACUAUAGAACUGCUUUGAAAACUGUUAAUCUAGAAUGUGGGAGAGGUAGAUGGAAUUUCUGGUGUAGGGGUAAAAUCCGUAGAGAUCAGAAGGAAUACCGAUUGCGAAGGCGAUCUACUGGAACACUAUUGACGCUGAGAUGCGAAAGCGUGGGGAGCAAACGGGAUUAGAUACCCCGGUAGUCCACGCCCUAAACGAUGCACACUAGUUGUUGUGAGGCUAGACCUUGCAGUAAUGCAGUUAACACA